RNAcentral lists this ribosomal RNA (193 nucleotides) under uncultured rumen bacterium. Its description in RNAcentral is "partial 16S ribosomal RNA". It matches the Rfam family "Bacterial small subunit ribosomal RNA", at positions 340 to 524 of the family's 1533-position model. The record is from RNAcentral.
UACUUGAGGCAGCAGUGGGGAAUCUUCCGCAAUGGGCGAAAGCCUGACGGAGCAACGCCGCGUGAGUGAAGAAGGCCUUCGGGUCGUAAAGCUCUGUCUUUAGGGAAGAACAUUCCGGGUGUGAACAAUGCCCGGGACUGACGGUACCUGAGGAGGAAGCUCCGGCUAACUACGUGCCAGCAGCCGCGGUAAU